AGCUCCAACAACCUUGAGAACAUCCUGAAAACAUCAACAUGAAAGAAAUCUUCCUUCUUGUGGGCUUGGUCUUUGUGCUGGGUGCAGAUGAAAUGUCAAGUCUUAAAGCAGAAGCAUGUGGAGCUGGAAACACCCGGCGCGCUCCACAUGUUGAGAAUGCCCACAAGCCUGCUCAUCCAAGUGAAGAAGCCAUCGACAGUGGGCAUAACCAUAACG
Molecule: long non-coding RNA, 216 nt
Organism: Scleropages formosus (Asian bonytongue)
Lineage: Eukaryota; Metazoa; Chordata; Actinopteri; Osteoglossiformes; Osteoglossidae
Exons: 3
Source: RefSeq, a predicted model, not a curated record